ACCCCUACCAAAGACCACCACCUCCACCCAACCAGCCUUGGUCCUCCUCUGCCUCUCAAUUCCAUUACCAUCCCCAACUCCACCACUCGCCCUCUCCUCCACCACAGUGGCCUCCGCCCCCGCCGCCGCCGCCUCCGGCUCACUCCUCCGACCAUAGUUAUUACCCUCCAUAUCCUGCGCACCAACUUCCGCCUUAUCCUGCGUAUCCUCACUACCCUCCUGCGCAUCCUCUCCCGCUUAGGCCUCCUCAUGUUCCGCAUUCCUACUCUCAGGUAUUUGUUAAUUCUCUGUUUCGAGUAAAAACUUUCUGUUUUGAAAGAUAUUUUGGUUUAUUUGCAAGUAUUUUAGUUUCAGACUUGUUGAAAUCUGUGAUAUGUUAAACCUUUGUGGAAUUAUGAUUCCAAGGAAUUCAAUUCUUCAGAGAGAUAAAGAACAAUCAGUCUUUGGUUAAUUAUACACAUUGGUCUUCAAGGCUUUAGUUUGUUUCUUUUCUUUUGGGUGCUGGUCCUAUACCACCAGCAAUUAAAAAUACGUAAAUUUGCUUAAGCUUUAUAGUUAGGAACAAGAAAAGUUUUCAUUAUUGGUUAUCUGACUGGGAGGCAGGGAUGAGGACAAAAAUAUUUAUUUUGCUUGUUUAUGCAACAGUGUUUCACCAUUUAUUCAGUAUAGAGACACCGAAAGUGGACUGAUUUUUAUACGUGUGCCUUUCUUUUGCCUAUUUUUCUCUUGUUCUUCCUAUCGCCAAAUUACUUUAUUAAUAUUUUUAACAUAGGAUAUAUUGUGGUUGAGAUUUUUUGUUUGUUUACUAAUGUGUGUUUAAUGUAGAAUUGGGAGAAUGCAAGCUGGGGUCAUCACCAGAAUUGGGAUUACCAAGGUCAGAAGAUAGUUCACCAAUUUACUUAAUCAUUGGCUUUUCCUCUCUAUUAGACUCACAACACUGCUUUUUGUUUGUGGAUUUUUAUUUACUCAUUUCAUGUAAAAUUAUAGUUGGCAAUUUAAAACUCAGAUUAUAUGACUAUGAAAACUGGACAGAACUGGGUGGGCAAAAUCCCCGGUAUUGGUUGACCUGUACAGGAACCAGCUGGUUCGUUCAAGAGAAAAUUCAAUCUAUGCAUUGUUACUAAGAUCUGGACGGUUUGUUUCCGAUACUUGGUUUUACUUUAGAGCCGAUACACGAACUGGAUUCACCAAACUUCAUUAAAGCAAUAAAUAAUGAGGAUCCUACUGAAAUUUUCGUCAACACUUCCUGCAUGUAGUCACUCAUCCUCACUGUUCAACUCUUAAUUCUCAGACAGCAGCCACCACCAUCUAUUGUUAUCCUUGAAUAGCCGCCAAUUUAGUGGGUCAACCCUGAUUCUUUCCCAAAAUUGGGAGGUGAGAGAGGCAACUGCAGUAAUUGCAAUUAGAGAAAUCUGAGAUCCAACCCUAGUAAUUGAAGUUCCAAUUUUUUGCCUUCCACAUUUUUUAUUCUCCUCAGUUUCCAAAAUCGCAUAUAUAAUUUAUUUUAUUGCCUGAGAAAUGUCUGGUGAUUUCAUUUGCAAUUGAAGAUGAGUAUAUUACCCUUGUCUAGGUAAUUCACAUCAAGGUUCCAAAAAUAAUCAUAAUUUCCUGUUUUGUUUCUUUUUUGAAAUAUUUGGUACAUGGAUUUUUUAUGUAGGUUCUCGCAGAAAUUAAUUAAGACAAAGACAGGGUGUUCUUUUUUCUUAAUUUGAUAUUUAUUUUAUUACAAGGUGUUUUCAUUAGUUUAAUU
RNAcentral lists this long non-coding RNA (1750 nucleotides) under Olea europaea (common olive). Its description in RNAcentral is "long non-coding RNA (OEUR_LNC011204)". The record is from RNAcentral. Lineage: Eukaryota; Viridiplantae; Streptophyta; Magnoliopsida; Lamiales; Oleaceae.